GCGAAACGGUGCCAAUGAACAGGUGAUUACCAAAGAAGAAGAGAAUGCUUGCAGAAACUUGUGUCUAGAGUGCAAACGAAUAGAACCGCACGCACGCUAUGGAGAAUGACGGUGGGUUAGUGCGCGUUAGUUAUGCACGUGUCGGGAUAUCCGGGAUUUUUCAAACUGGGCCCAAAAAAAUAAUUUGCGUGGCCUAGAGAGGUAUGUGUUGAUAUAAAUGUGCACCUGUCGGCUUCCGUACUUUUACUAGCCUCGAAUUCUGUGAACUGUGAACUCUGGUCUGGAAGUUCGAGGCUAUACUUUUACGCAGAGCCAUAUAGAGAGAGAGUUGCGACAACCCGUAUCACGGGCGCCAUUUUGUUUCCAUGCGCGCUACGUAAAAAAUCUGUCUAAAAUCAUACUAAGCUACUACUAUUUCUACAUUAAAAAGCUCGAUUUGUGUCGUUUCCUGAUCAUCGUGGUUUCGGGAGAGACGUUGUAUUGUUCAAACAACCGAUCUGAACAGUUUUGACGCUUUUCAAGGAAAACCUCGCGCUUUGGCCUCGGAAUUCCAACAUUUAUAACCGUGUUGUUCUGUACACGUUUCUUUCUGCAAUGAAUGGUAUAAAUAAAACGAUGGCUCAUCAUCAGAAACUCAAGUUACAAAAGUUCACCUUGACUCUGAUUCUUUUCUUUCUCUAACUCCUGUUUCUUUUACGUUUCAUCUGCUUGCAUAGAAUGUGUAAGCGAACAGUCAAGUACUUUGAUAGUAGCUUCUGCUUGAUAUUAUGACAAUUGAGGAACAAAUCAUGUACUGUUAUUUCUUCAGCUUUGUCCAACAAUAAUCUUUUCACAUUUUUUGAUGUCAUCAACACUGAUUCAUCGAAGUUUCUUAGCAUGACUUCUACUUUGAGCAUCAUAGAGAAUGCUUACUCUAAUACCUGAGUAAAGCAUCCUUGCUUAUACUC
Corticium candelabrum is the source of this 947-nucleotide long non-coding RNA. RefSeq lists it as uncharacterized. The transcript is spliced from 4 exons. NCBI's taxonomy places the organism in Eukaryota, Metazoa, Porifera, Homoscleromorpha, Homosclerophorida, Plakinidae. The record is from RefSeq and is a predicted model, not a curated record.